This 1263-nucleotide ribosomal RNA is filed under the name Staphylococcus coagulans. Its description in RNAcentral is "partial 23S ribosomal RNA". It matches the Rfam family "Bacterial large subunit ribosomal RNA", at positions 1 to 1263 of the family's 2925-position model. Lineage: Bacteria; Bacillati; Bacillota; Bacilli; Caryophanales; Staphylococcaceae. The record is from RNAcentral.
AGAUUAAGUUAUUAAGGGCGCACGGUGGAUGCCUUGGCACUAGAAGCCGAUGAAGGACGUUACUAACGACGAUAUGCUUUGGGGAGCUGUAAGUAAGCUUUGAUCCAGAGAUUUCCGAAUGGGGGAACCCAGCACGAGUUAUGUCGUGUUAUCCGCAUAUGAAUUCAUAGUAUGUGAGAAGGUAGACCCGGAGAACUGAAACAUCUUAGUACCCGGAGGAAGAGAAAGAAAAAUCGAUUCCCUGAGUAGCGGCGAGCGAAACGGGAAGAGCCCAAACCAACAAGCUUGCUUGUUGGGGUUGUAGGACACUCUAUACGGAGUUACAAAAGUAUUUGUUAGACGAAUAACCUGGAAAGGUUAAUCAGAGAAGGUAAUAAUCCUGUAGUCGAAAACGAAUACCCUCUUGAGUGGAUCCUGAGUACGACGGAGCACGUGAAAUUCCGUCGGAAUCUGGGAGGACCAUCUCCUAAGGCUAAAUACUCUCUAGUGACCGAUAGUGAACCAGUACCGUGAGGGAAAGGUGAAAAGUACCCCGGAAGGGGAGUGAAAGAGAACUUGAAACCGUGUGCUUACAAGUAGUCAGAGCCCGUUAAUGGGUGAUGGCGUGCCUUUUGUAGAAUGAACCGGCGAGUUACGAUCUGAUGCAAGGUUAAGCAGAAAAUGUGGAGCCGUAGCGAAAGCGAGUCUGAAUAGGGCGAAUGAGUAUUUGGUCGUAGACCCGAAACCAGGUGAUCUACCCUUGGUCAGGUUGAAGUUCAGGUAACACUGAAUGGAGGACCGAACCGACUUACGUUGAAAAGUGAGCGGAUGAACUGAGGGUAGCGGAGAAAUUCCAAUCGAACUUGGAGAUAGCUGGUUCUCUCCGAAAUAGCUUUAGGGCUAGCCUCAAGUGAUGAUUAUUGGAGGUAGAGCACUGUUUGGACGAGGGGCCCCUCUCGGGUUACCGAAUUCAGACAAACUCCGAAUGCCAAAUAAUUUAACUUGGGAGUCAGAACGUGGGUGAUAAGGUCCAUGUUCGAAAGGGAAACAGCCCAGACCACCAGCUAAGGUCCCAAAAUAUAUGUUAAGUGGAAAAGGAUGUGGCGUUGCCCAGACAACUAGGAUGUUGGCUUAGAAGCAGCCAUCAUUUAAAGAGUGCGUAAUAGCUCACUAGUCGAGUGACACUGCGCCGAAAAUGUACCGGGGCUAAACAUAUUACCGAAGCUGUGGAUUGUCCGUAGGACAAUGGUAGGAGAGCGUUCUAAGGGCGUUGAAGCAUGAUCG